This 477-nucleotide ribosomal RNA is filed under the name uncultured bacterium. Its description in RNAcentral is "partial 16S ribosomal RNA". It matches the Rfam family "Bacterial small subunit ribosomal RNA", at positions 28 to 507 of the family's 1533-position model. The record is from RNAcentral.
GAUUAACGCUGGCGGCGUGCAUAACACAUGCAAGUCGAACGAUGAAACUUAAAUGAUUUCUUCGGAAUGAACUUAAGUGGAUUAGUGGCGGACGGGUGAGUAACGCGUGAGUAACCUGCCUUACACAAGGGGAUAGCCGUUGGAAACGACGAAUAAUACCCUAUGAUGUUUCUAUCUCGCAUGAGAUAUUAACCAAAGUGUUAGCGGUGUAAGAUGGACUUGCGUCUGAUUAGCUAGUUGGUGAGAAAAAAGCCCACCAAGGCAACGAUCAGUAGCCGGCUUGAGAGAGUGUACGGCCACAUUGGGACUGAGACACGGCCCAGACUCCUACGGGAGGCAGCAGUGGGGAAUUUUGCACAAUGGGGGAAACCCUGAUGCAGCGACGCCUCGUGAUUUAGAAGGCCUUCGGGUUGUAAAAAUCUUUUGUAUAGGAAGAAAAUGACAGUACUAUACGAAUAAGGUCCGGCUAAUUACGUG